UACGUAGGGACCAAGCGUUGUUCGGAUUUACUGGGCGUAAAGGGCGCGUAGGCGGCUUAACAAGUCACUUGUGAAAUCUCCGGGCUUAACUCGGAACGGCCAAGUGAAACUGUCAAGCUAGAGUGCGGAAGGGGCAAUCGGAAUUCUUGGUGUAGCGGUGAAAUGCGCAGAUAUCAGGAGGAACACCGGUGGCGAAGGCGGGUCUCUGGGCCGAUACUGACGCUGAGGAGCGAAAGCGUGGGGAGCGAACAGG
Molecule: ribosomal RNA, 253 nt
Filed under: uncultured bacterium
Lineage: Bacteria
Description: partial 16S ribosomal RNA
Rfam family: Bacterial small subunit ribosomal RNA
Source: RNAcentral